Long non-coding RNA from Eptesicus fuscus (big brown bat), 194 nucleotides. RefSeq lists it as uncharacterized. The record is from RefSeq and is a predicted model, not a curated record. Lineage: Eukaryota; Metazoa; Chordata; Mammalia; Chiroptera; Vespertilionidae. The transcript has 3 exons.
GUACGUCUACCAUCUGUCACCACACACAGUGACAACUUUUUGUGUAGCGAUGCCAGUUACAAAUCUUCUUUUACUUUUAUGAUGAAGGAUGGGUGUGGGAAUUAAGAAAUGUCUAAAGUGAGUGCCUCCAGCUUUGGACACACCAAACGUGAAAACAAGCUGGCCGCCUGAGGGUCACCCCGCACCACACAUCU